RNAcentral lists this ribosomal RNA (373 nucleotides) under uncultured Bacteroidota bacterium. RNAcentral's name for it is "bacterial SSU rRNA". It matches the Rfam family "Bacterial small subunit ribosomal RNA", at positions 521 to 896 of the family's 1533-position model. The record is from RNAcentral. Lineage: Bacteria; Pseudomonadati; Bacteroidota.
UAAUACGGAGGGUCCGAGCGUUAUCCGGAAUCAUUGGGUUUAAAGGGUCCGUAGGCGGGAAUCUAAGUCAGUGGUGAAAUCUUGCAGCUCAACUGUAAAAUUGCCAUUGAUACUGGAUUUCUUGAAUUAGCGUGAAGUGAUUAGAAUGUGUAGUGUAGCGGUGAAAUGCAUAGAUAUUACACAGAAUACCAAUUGCGAAGGCAGGUCACUAACACUAUAUUGACGCUGAGGGACGAAAGCGUGGGGAGCGAACAGGAUUAGAUACCCUGGUAGUCCACGCCGUAAACGAUGGAUACUAGCUGUUCGAUCUUCGGAUUGAGUGGCUAAGCGAAAGUGAUAAGUAUCCCACCUGGGGAGUACGUUCGCAAGAAUG